AUGCAGAUACUAUCCCUCAUACACAACAAAGAUGGAAAACUAAGUAGCUUGCCCUACCUACCAGCAGAUGUCUCAAACCUCAAGGCAACAUAUCAUAGAGAAAGCAAGUUAGCUGAUGUAGAAGGCACCAUCACCUACUUCAAAGAGAAAGAAAAGGAGGAUCCUGAUUUCUUCUACAGAAUAAGAUUCGACUAUGAGGACCAUGUCAAAAACAUGUACUGCAUGGAUGGUGCAGCACGGAGAGCCUACACGCAUUUUCGUGACUGCAUUUCCUUUGACGUGGCAUAUCUUACGAACAUGUACAAGAUGCCAUGUGAUCCAUUCAUAGGGAUAAACAACCACAACAGUCCUUGCAGUUUGGUUGCGGCCUUGUACAGAACGAAGAUAUCAAUGGCUACACGUGGCUGUUCAAAACCUUCUUGGACUACAUCUAUGGACUUGCUCCAAUGA
Molecule: ribosomal RNA, 450 nt
Filed under: Triticum aestivum (bread wheat)
Lineage: Eukaryota; Viridiplantae; Streptophyta; Magnoliopsida; Poales; Poaceae
Description: partial small subunit ribosomal RNA
Source: RNAcentral